This 271-nucleotide ribosomal RNA is filed under the name uncultured Staphylococcus sp. Its description in RNAcentral is "partial 16S ribosomal RNA". It matches the Rfam family "Bacterial small subunit ribosomal RNA", at positions 90 to 356 of the family's 1533-position model. The record is from RNAcentral. Lineage: Bacteria; Bacillati; Bacillota; Bacilli; Caryophanales; Staphylococcaceae.
CGUUAGCGGCGGACGGGUGAGUAACACGUGGGUAACCUACCUAUAAGACUGGGAUAACUUCGGGAAACCGGAGCUAAUACCGGAUAAUAUUUCGAACCGCAUGGUUCGAUAGUGAAAGAUGGUUUUGCUAUCACUUAUAGAUGGACCUGCGCCGUAUUAGCUAGUUGGUAAGGUAACGGCUUACCAAGGCGACGAUACGUAGCCGACCUGAGAGGGUGAUCGGCCACACUGGAACUGAGACACGGUCCAGACUCCUAGGGAGGCAGCAGCG